UCGCCUCUUGCAGUUUAUAAGAGGUCUAGCCUGCCCAGUGACUUGUUUAACGGCCGCGGUAUCCUAACCGUGCGAAGGGUAGCGUAAUCACUUGUUUUUUAAAUUAAGACUAGUAUGAAUGGCAUCACGAGGAUCAAACUGUCUCCUUUUUUUAAUCAGUGAAACUAAUCUCCCCGUGAAGAAGCGGGGAUCUCUAUAUAAGACGAGAAGACCCUAUGGAGCUUUAAACUAUCAGUUAUUUGCCCUGUAUCUAUAAAUAUACUUAAGCAGCACUUUAACUCCAUGUUUUAGGUUGGGGUGACCCAGGAGAAAAAAUUAUCCUCCUAGUUGAUAAGGGCUUGCCCUAAGCAAAAAGCUACAACUUUAAGCAUCAAAAAAUUGACAUCCAUUGACCCAGUAUUCUGAGCAACGAACCAAGUUACCCUAGGGAUAACAGCGCAAUCUACUUCAAGAGUCCUUAUCAACAAGUGGGUUUACGACCUCGAUGUUGGAUCAGGGUGUCCCAGUGGUGCAGCCGCUACUAAAGGUUCGUUUGUUCAACGAUUAAAACCCCACGUGA
RNAcentral lists this ribosomal RNA (559 nucleotides) under Qosqophryne mancoinca. RNAcentral's name for it is "Holoadeninae gen n. sp. m RVM-2020 partial large subunit ribosomal RNA". It matches the Rfam family "Bacterial large subunit ribosomal RNA", at positions 1816 to 2603 of the family's 2925-position model. The record is from RNAcentral. Lineage: Eukaryota; Metazoa; Chordata; Amphibia; Anura; Craugastoridae.